GAAUCAUAAGCGGGUGCGCAUUCUAACGUUGUUUCGGCCUUCACCUUGAACUUGACAGAAUUCGGUAAAAAAAAUGGCACGUCCACUGACCAAAUGUGCCCGUCCCUUAAGAUAUUUAACAGAAUCGGGAAACAUACUCCGACCGGGUGAAAUAAAAAGGGUAACAUGUGUGGGAUGUUUACAGUUAUCCAAGAACAUUGAAAGAAGGCAGGUAGUGUCAGCAGAAACUGCGAGAUCCUUCAUAACUUUACCUAAUCUCCCAUUUAGUGGAAGUGGGAGUAAAAAGAAAGAAUAUUCUGAAAGAAGGUUGCUGGGGUAUACAAUGGAACAGAUGUAUGACAUUGUGGCAGAAGUUGAUAAAUAUAACAAGUUUGUACCAUGGUGCACUCAGUCAACCAUAACAAAUGCAACACCAGAAAAGAUUGACUGUAAAUUGCAGAUUGGUUUCCCUCCAGUAGUUGAAAGAUACACUUCCGUAGUGACGUUGAAAAAGCCAAGUUUAGUGCAUUCUGUGUGUAAAGAUGGCAAGUUGUUUAAUCACCUCGUAACAACAUGGAAGUUUAGUCCGGGAAUGCCUGACAACCCAAAAACUUGCAUGCUGGAUUUUUCGGUUUCUUUCGAGUUUAAGUCACAGUUGCAUUCACAAUUAGCACAUGUAUUUUUCGACGAGGUUGUGCGUCAGAUGGUCAAUGCAUUUUUAAAGCGAGCUAAGAAACUUCAUGGCCCAGCUUCUAUAAAAGCACAAAAGCCCAAAAUUCUUGUCUGCAAUUCUUGAUGAAAAUGGAAAAUUAGGGACACAGAAUUAUAGGGAUGUCUAAUCAGAAUUUGUUAGUGCUGCCCAGAGGACUAUUAUCUUCUUUUGAAUCUAGAAGAUUCAUAUUUUGUUUUUACAAACAUGUACCAUGUUGAAAUUUGUUUUCAACAUAAGAUGAUUGUUAAUAAGUCUUUAGCCAAGGCUUGUGAUAUUUUUGUUGUUAAAGUUUAAUCAAAGACCACUUGAUUGUUUGCAGCCACUUUAAGUGAAUGAUUUUUUUUUGAACAUGCAAGUCGCUAAGUCAGCUGUCAGUCUAAAAUACAACUUUAUUAUUAUCUGGAAAAAUCUUCAAUGAAAUACAUUUAUCAUUUACCCUCUAAAUCUCUGUAAUAGACAUGUCUUGCUUCUUUGUGUUUUUUUAAUAUGCAUUGUUAGUUUUUAGGAGUUUAGUAUGAAAUUUAAAAACUAAGCAGACCGCAGUUUAUAGCCUUGACAUAUUGAUCAGAAUUUCAGACUGGCCUGACAAAGACCUUGUAAGCGGCAUUGUUGAUGUUUGUAAGACAAAUUCUGAUUAGGUAUCCCUCUUGUUAUUUAGAUUAGCUUAAAAAUCUGACCAUGUUUAUACUGUUUUUGUUACCUAGGUAUUUGAUAUUGUUAAAGACUCUCGUUUUGAUACCGGUACAUUUUACUACACGCUUAAUGAUUUUUAAAAUGUAAUUGUAUUUACUGUAUUUUUAUAAAUUCAUGUGACAUGAUUUGUUUUCUGUGCAGUAUAAAUUAUGUGAUAAUUUUUGUAAACUGUGCAUAAAAAUAAUAUGACUCUUAUUUCGACAGCAGUAUAGAUACUGUGACAAAAUUUUCUUACAAAGUAAAGAGAUCUACCCUAAUUGUAAUAUGUAGUGGAAAUAAUUAUGACAAUAUUUUUAUAAGCAGAAUAUAUACUGUAACAAUUUGUUUAGAAUGUUGCAUACUUUUUCAGCGUUGUAAAUUUUGUGACAUUUAUUUUUCUAUGCUAAACUGCUUCCAGAUUUGUCUAAAAAGUACAACAUGAAAUUCCGAUAUUUUUUUCUCAGCAGUAUAAUUAAUAACACAGUUUUAGUUGUUUUUUUUUUCUGAGCAGUAUAAAUGAUGUGACAAAUCUUUUCUGUGCAGAAUGAAAGCUGUUGAACAGUUUCUAUAGUACUCUGCAAAAUAUUUUAGCAGUAUGUAAAAAAUACUAUUUACGAAUAUGAUAAUUAUAUACGAAUAAUGAUAAUUUUGUUAAAUAUGUGGUAACAUAGACGGAAAAGCUGAUAAAGUUGGUAGAAAAGUUCUGUGGAAAAAAAUUUACCACACAAUCAGAAUUUCCAAUCUAAAAAUAUUUUGUUGUCAUAUUUCAGAGAAGAAAUUUGCUCGUGAAGGCCUGUUUCUAUUUUUCUUAGAGAUCUUAAAUUAAAAUGUUAUUUGAGAUCAAACAUUCAUUUUAUGUGAAAUUAAAAGUAAACGAAUUUUCUUCAAGAAGGAAACUGGAAGUCUUUGUUUUUUCUGUUGUUGUGAAAGGACACCUGAAAUAAAAAUGAAUUAUUUUUACUGUUAGUGUGAUAUUAAGGUAUUUUGGUAUUUAUGUGGUCAAUUUGUGUAUUUAUGGAUCGUAUUUUUAAUCUGUGGACAAUAGCUAAGGUCUUACAUUGUAUGUAAUCCAAGCUUUCUACUUGUUUUUCAUGUGAAAUGUUUCCAAUAAAGACCAGGCCCCGAGGUUAUAGACCUGUCUCAAAUCUCUGGAUUUGCAUUGGUCAGUGCACAGACUAUGCUGGUUUCUGACCAAUCAAAUGCCUGAGAUCUGAGUUUGAGCUUGAACAUUUCUUAUAUCCUCGGACCCUGGUAAUCUUCUAAAAUGUAUGAAAUGAACAUAUUUGUAUCUACUAUUUAUGUCUUGUAAAUACAUUUUAUUCAUAUUUUUGAGGUCAAAUCCACUUUGACCUUUAUGUUGCCAUAAUUUUUAAUUAUUUCAAUUUUAGAUAGGAUAUGUAGUGUGAUUAUCUUACACACUUUGGCUUUUAUGUUGUUAGAAAUUGUGUUUUCAAGUUUUUUUUUCAAGCAUUUUUAUAUCUCAUUAACAACUGAAGGCAUUUUCUUUUAAGCAGCAGGCCUCUAGAUUCAUGCUAAUUUUCAUGAAAAGUAAAAUAUUGUGGAGUGAAAAGUGAAAGGAUUUUACGCAUUGCUAUCAGUACUAACAAUCUACAUAAAUUACCAAAAAGAGGUCAAAAUAUGCAAAAAUAGCCCAUACUGUGUAAGUCACAUUGUAAGAAAAUGGUGAUAAAUAAUGCAAAAUAAGUCAUUAAUUGACAUAACAUAUAAAUUAUUACUUGAAUGUUUUUACUUUUCUUAAAAUCUUAGUGCAUUUUUUUCAAGUUUGAUUUUUUUGGACAUAUUUUGGCUCAUCUGGAGGCAUGCAGUUUUGCAACUUCACAUUUGUCUUCAGAAUCAUAAAAGUCAUUCACUGUCCAAGAUGGUAAACCUACAACACUCUCAUUUAUUUUAUAGGAUGACUCCCCUUUUUUAACUUAGACAUUAAGGUCUGGCAUGCAAUGUCUGUAUCCAGAACCGCUAGAAGUGACCAUUUUGAUCAUAACAAUUGUUUUAAGGGUCAUAUUUGUAAAUCACUUACCAAAUUCUAUAAAUUUAACACUGAUUUGAACUGAAUAAAUCUGGAAAAAUUCUUGGCUAUUGUUUUGAGUACCUUUUCUGUCUCCAGAAUCAGGGACAGCGUUCAUUUGAAAGUUACAUAGUCUUUGUUGCCAUGAUUGUAGGUCACUAACACAACAAUUACUCUAGCUAACGUUUCAUCUGGAUUGUUACCCUUUGUGAACAUUUUAAAAAUCCUGCAAGACUUUAAUUUGACGAUCAAGCAGUAUGAAUAAUACAAGUGCACACAGUGUGUUUUAAAGCUCUUGUAAGUUGUUGCUGAGGUUUGCUUUAGUUCUAAGCACUUAUUUAUUUACAUGGAAACUUUAUUUAGAUUUUUAGUGCACAAUUUGUUUUGUUUAAAUUUAUCUUUUAUCGGCUAUAUUUUUUUUUGGAAACAAAAAUCUUAAAGCACCACAUGGUGACAUGCAGCUUAUUUGAGGAAAAUAUGAAUUCUAAGUUAUGCUGUGCCUGAGAAAGCUAUUUUUAGAGCUGAUGAAAAUUUUUUAGAUCAGUUACCUCAUUUUGUUUUUACAAAUAAUUAUACAUUAUAAUAUUUUGUUAUUAUUUUGUUUUACUUAAUAUUUUCAUUUAGUGCUUGUUUUCUGCUUUACCUAGGUAUUAUUGAUACUGUAUAUGAAAUAAAAUUGCAAAAACUUUGUAACAUAGUUUGUGUAAUACAUUUAUCAUUUCCCCAUAGCAACUGAGGUGUGCAUUGCUUGAUAGCAUACAUGAGUGACAUUACAGUGUCAGUCUUUUACUGCUCUUAUUUUGAUUCUUAAUUAGAUAACAUACAUGUCAAAAUGGUUGAAAGUUUUGUUGUUGAUUUUACAUAUAAACAAAAACUCAUGGCUCUUAAGGACAUAAAAGUGAACAAACAAACAAACAAUACAACAAUUAUAAUACAAACAUGGCAUAGAAGUAUAUAAGGAAGAUGACUUAGUGAAAUUUCAGCAUUAUUGCUUUAACAAACAUUGCUAGAUUUAAGUAUUUAUGUUAUCACUACACAUUAAAGCCUGAAAAUUUAAAAUACUAGGAAACCUUGAAUAGUAAUUACUGAUAUACUUGUGUGUUUCAUGAGUAAAAUAACUACAUUUAAAAAUAAAGUGAAAUUCAUCACCUAUUUUUUGCUGGUUACAAAGUGAGCAGGUUCUAUUUGUAUCUUGGUGUUACCUGCAUUUGGUUGAAAUAGUGCACUGAUAUAAGAUUCAAGUGACUCCAUCUCUUAGUAAAGUCUGACAACUUUAAGUGUUAAUAUUGACUUUGAGAUUUCAAGCAAAUCACAUAUGUGGUCAGAUUGCUUUACCUACAAUUUCUAGCUUGAUAUAAUAAUGCUGGUAAAGUUAAGAGUUUAAACCAUGGAAAUGGCACCUUUACAAUAUACUGUAAACCGUAAGUUAUGGAUAGUUCAAUACAUUGUUGCAAAAGUAAAUUACAGACAUUAUAUUUUUGAAAAAAAAAACAACAGAUAAUAUCUUACUCAAAAGCACUGCAAAUCAAGUGUGCAUUUAAUUAUUAUGUACUGACUACAGACUUUCAAGGUUUCAAGCAAGUCGCAUGUGUGUUCAGUUUGCUUAGGUUACCCUGUCGUGGUUUAAUUAAUACUGGAAUACAAUAUAGUUAUUGUUUUAAACCAUGGAAAUAGCAUGUAAACUGUAUGCCUGAAGUUAUGAAUAGUUCAUUAGAUAAAUGAUUUAAGAGUAAACUGUGAGAAAGCUAUACAACUAGCUUACAGAACCUCAGUGGUUCUACUCAAGUGCUGGUUAGUGCUUGAAAUACUGCUGUGGUCUUCCUCCAUCAGUAAAGCAGGAAAGUCACCAUAUGACUUAUACUGUUGAAGCCACAUAAAACCCAACCAAAAAAAAAAUAUGAGUAAAUUAUAAAUGGCAGUUUGCUUGUAAGAUAUGAAGCACUAUGUAAAUACUGGUUCAAAAUGAAUUAUUUUUAGUUAACCACUACUAACUUAUAAUACCAAUCUCAAUAAAUGAGAUAAUUGGUAUAUCUGAAUAUAUGCCCAAUAAUGCACACAUUUCAUUUGUUGUCAAAAUGGAAAGAAUUAAAACAAAACAAAAUAACAUUUAGAAUGGGACUUUGACUUCAGUACUGUAUAUGUUUUUAUCAAGCUAUUUAAUUUUUUAACUGGCCAUCUCGGAGUAUAGGGAGAGACACGUUGACUUCUAUGCAAAAUGCUUCUAUUGGUUUUUGUUAAUUAUUUAUAUUUUUGCAAAUGGCUUUGGAUGGUGCAUUAUAGUAAAUAGUAAAAUACUAUUUUAAAGUGAUAUUUUUCUCUUAUUUAUUGAUAGCCUUAUUUUUGUGUUUUAUUUCAUUUUAUUGCAUUUUAUCAUAUUUUUUCUUUUCUCAUUUCCUUAUAAAAUAACAUGUAUCUUGUGACAAUAGGAAAAAAGACAAUGAUUCUUUCUUUGUUCUAAUUUUUAUUAUGAUUGAAAAGAAACAACUAGUUUAAAAUGUAUUUAAUCAUUUAAAUGAUGUAAAAUGUAUGUGUUUUUUUUGUUAUUGAUCCAGUUUAUUAAGUGUUAACUGUAUAAUGUUUGUUAUUUAUGCAUUAAUAUAUUGUCUUUUGUGUUUUAUGCUUUUAUGUAGAAUCAUUUGGAUAAUUUGCAUUUGAGAUUAAAGCAUUUGAUGUUUUAUGCUUAUGUAUAUCAAAGCGUGUGUUAUAUGCUUUUAUGUAUAACUUUUUUGUGUUAUAUGCAUUUGUGUAUCAACUUUUAAUAUGAUAUGAUGAUAUGUAUAAACAUCGUAUUACAAGCAUUUUGAGCUUAUCUGUUUUUGAAGAAAAAGUUGAACUUUUCCUAAUGAUUAUUGCGGCAUAACUGUUGUGGUCGUCGCUUAAAAACUUAAUGAAGCCCAUUAUUCAAAUAUUUUAAAAGUUAUCAGCAUGAAACCUUUUGCCCUGUUUCAGCUUAUCAUGACAAGGUGCAGUUGUAAGACAAUGGUAAAAUCAAUGUUAAACAAGGUUUAGUUCCAUCUGAUUAGUCUAGUACAGUGUGUGAUAGAUAUAGGGACAUCAGAUUCAUGAGUUUUGUAUCUUUGCUGAGGAAAAUAUUAUUUUCUGUGACGAUUUGUUUUAUUGUUUGAUGACAGUAUAUCUUGUCAGCUAUUUUUCUUCCAAGGCUUUGUAUCCCCCACUUGGGAGAAACAUAUAAAUGUGCUUUUGUUCCUCUGUUACACCAUCACACUGUCAUGCUGGCCUUAUUUAGACUGACAAAACAGUGGAAUGUUGGGACAGGGCAUCCAUGACCUAUGGACACAUUUCUAAGUAACAAAUGAUUUAUAUCAUGAAUUUGGCAGUAGAUCUAAAAAAAAAUUAAGAAAAAAAAACAGGUUAGUCACUCAUUAAUAAAUACAGAACAAUUUGUAGGUGACAAGAUGUUAAUUUGAAACUGACAUGUUGUUGUCAUUUAAGAAAAAUAUGAGAAUACAUGUACAUUGUAUAUGUUAUGAUACUGUGUAAUAUGUCAUCACUGAUUACUGUGUAAUCAUAUUUUAGGCAUUGUGUAGCUAAUUGUAACACACAAAUUUUUAUUACUGAAAGAUACAUGUAUCUGAGAAGAAAAUGUGUUAUAAUAAAACUCAAAAAUAGU
Ruditapes philippinarum (Manila clam) is the source of this 7020-nucleotide RNA transcript. It is a transcript of the gene named coenzyme Q-binding protein COQ10 homolog B, mitochondrial-like, with no coding region annotated. NCBI's taxonomy places the organism in Eukaryota, Metazoa, Mollusca, Bivalvia, Venerida, Veneridae. The transcript is spliced from 6 exons. The record is from RefSeq and is a predicted model, not a curated record.